UACGUAGGGUGCAAGCGUUGUCCGGAAUUAUUGGGCGUAAAGAGCUCGUAGGCGGUUCGUCGCGUCGGCUGUGAAAUCCCGAGGCUCAACCUCGGGUCUGCAGUCGAUACGGGCGGACUGGAGUUCGGCAGGGGAGACUGGAAUUCCUGGUGUAGCGGUGAAAUGCGCAGAUAUUAGGAGGAACACCGGUGGCGAAGGCGGGUCUCUGGGCCGAUACUGACGCUGAGGAGCGAAAGCGUGGGGAGCGAACAGG
Molecule: ribosomal RNA, 253 nt
Filed under: uncultured bacterium
Lineage: Bacteria
Description: partial 16S ribosomal RNA
Rfam family: Bacterial small subunit ribosomal RNA
Source: RNAcentral